This 565-nucleotide ribosomal RNA is filed under the name uncultured bacterium. RNAcentral describes it as "bacterial SSU rRNA". It matches the Rfam family "Bacterial small subunit ribosomal RNA", at positions 338 to 916 of the family's 1533-position model. The record is from RNAcentral.
CCUACGGGAGGCAGCAGUGGGGAAUCUUGCGCAAUGGGCGAAAGCCUGACGCAGCAACGCCGCGUGCGGGAUGAAGGCCUUCGGGUUGUAAACCGCUUUCAGCAGGGAAGAAAUUGACGGUACCUGCAGAAGAAGCCCCGGCCAACUACGUGCCAGCAGCCGCGGUAACACGUAGGGGGCGAGCGUUGUCCGGAUUUAUUGGGCGUAAAGAGCUCGUAGGCGGUUCGGUAAGUCGGGUGUGAAACCUCCAGGCUCAACCUGGAGACGCCACCUGAUACUGCUGUGACUAGAGUCCGGUAGGGGAGUGUGGAACUCCUGGUGUAGCGGUGAAAUGCGCAGAUAUCAGGAAGAACACCAGCGGCGAAGGCGGCACUCUGGGCCGGUACUGACGCUGAGGAGCGAAAGCGUGGGUAGCAAACAGGAUUAGAUACCCUGGUAGUCCACGCCGUAAACGUUGGGCACUAGGUGUGGGUCUCAACCAACGAGAUCCGUGCCGCAGCUAACGCAUUAAGUGCCCCGCUGGGGAGUACGGCCGCAAGGCUAAAACGUCAAAUGAAAUUGACGG